RNAcentral lists this ribosomal RNA (716 nucleotides) under uncultured Chloroflexota bacterium. RNAcentral's name for it is "bacterial SSU rRNA". It matches the Rfam family "Bacterial small subunit ribosomal RNA", at positions 71 to 767 of the family's 1533-position model. Lineage: Bacteria; Bacillati; Chloroflexota. The record is from RNAcentral.
UAGGGUUAGCAAUAACUCUAUGGUUCUAGUGGCGCACGGGUGAGUAACACGUGGGUAACCUGCCCUUGAGACUGGGAUACCCCCUCGAAAGGGGGGCUAAUACCGGAUACGUUUCUCGGAUCGAAAGGUCUGAGAAGGAAAGGUGGCGAAAGCUGCCGCUCUUGGAGGGGCUCGCGGCCUAUCAGCUAGUUGGCGGGGUAACGGCCCACCAAGGCUAUGACGGGUAGCUGGUCUGAGAGGACGACCAGCCACACGGGGACUGAGACACGGCCCCGACUCCUACGGGAGGCAGCAGUGGGGAAUUUUCCGCAAUGGGCGAAAGCCUGACGGAGUGACGCCGCGUGUGGGACGAAGGCCUUCGGGUCGUAAACCACUGUCAGUGGGAAAGAUGGGUGUCGGCGCGAUAACCGCCGACAUUUGACGGUACCUGCAGAGGAAGCCCCGGCUAACUCUGUGCCAGCAGCCGCGGUAAGACAGAGGGGGCAAGCGUUGCUCGGAAUUACUGGGCGUAAAGGGCGCGUAGGCGGGAUGGCAAGUCGGUCGUGAAAUCCCUCGGCUCAACCGAGGGUCGUCGAUCGAUACUGCCGUUCUUGAGGAUUGCAGAGGAGACUGGAAUUCCCGGUGUAGCGGUGAAAUGUGUAGAGAUCGGGAGGAACACCGGUGGCGAAGGCGGGUCUCUGGGCAAUUCCUGACGCUGAGGCGCGAAAGCGUGGGGA